GACGAACGCUGGCGGCGUGCUUAACACAUGCAAGUCGAACGGAAAGGCCCUGCUUUUGUGGGGUGCUCGAGUGGCGAACGGGUGAGUAACACGUGAGUAACCUGCCCUUGACUUUGGGAUAACUUCAGGAAACUGGGGCUAAUACCGGAUAGGAGCUCCUGCUGCAUGGUGGGGGUUGGAAAGUUUCGGCGGUUGGGGAUGGACUCGCGGCUUAUCAGCUUGUUGGUGGGGUAGAGGCUUACCAAGGCUUUGACUGGUAGCCGGCCUGAGAGGGUGACCGGCCACAUUGGGACUGGGAUACGGCCCAGACUGCUACGGGAGGCAGCAGUGGGGAAUAUUGCACAAUGGGCGGAAGCCUGAUGCAGCAACGCCGCGUGCGGGAUGACGGCCUUCGGGUUGUAAACCGCUUUCGCCUGUGACGAAGCGUGAGUGACGGUAAUGGGUAAAGAAGCACCGGCUAACUACGUG
This 468-nucleotide ribosomal RNA is filed under the name uncultured bacterium. RNAcentral's name for it is "partial 16S ribosomal RNA". It matches the Rfam family "Bacterial small subunit ribosomal RNA", at positions 28 to 507 of the family's 1533-position model. The record is from RNAcentral.